UAUAACAACACACACAAUAUAUGAUUUUAUUUAUAUUUAUUAAUUAAUUUCGUACGUACAUUAAAGAUACAAUAAAACAGACAAAAGUUUAGAUAAUAAACUUUUAUCAAUUAAUCACAUAUCAAGCUAACAGUAGUAGUAAUUAAGACCCAAUAAUAUGACACAGGUAGGUCCAUUAUUAUUUAAAGGUGCAAGCUAAUUAUGUGAAAUUAAGUGCGCAAUAAUAAUUAUUAUAUAUAUUAGCUAGGUUUAGGUUGAGAUGGAAGCUGACAGCAGCGGCAGCAGCGAUCUCGAUCUCUCAUGGUGAAGCAUUAUCAAUCUGAGACUGAGAAGUGGUUGGAUUAUCACAAAAGCAAGGACAACAAGAGUAUGGGUCUGGCCGAGGUGCACAACACACACAAGCAGGACAUACGGGGGGACGUCUCUGAAGUAGCUCUGUACGUACAUGCAAAUCAACAACUAAUUCAUGCAUUAAUUAAUUAAAAACACGUACAAAUCAAAAAAUUAAUUAAUAUAUUGAUUAACUAAUUAAUGCAUUUAUAGUUAAUUUACGCACCUCGCUGAAGCAGUCGAGUUGCCUCACAUGAUAUUGGUAUUGCUGGGGAGAAAACUAUUGCGAGGAGGAAAAGUGCGAGCACAAUGGACCUAGGUGCCAAACUUGCCAUUGUUUGAUUGCUAUAACUAAAUAAAAUAUAUAUAUAUAUAUAUAUAUAUAUAUAUAUAUAUAUAUAUAUAUGUCUCUUAAUUAGUAUAUAUAUAUGUCUCUUAAUUAGUCUUGGCUAAUAAAAAUAUAUAUUAUGGUUUGGUUGAG
RNAcentral lists this long non-coding RNA (811 nucleotides) under Panax ginseng (ginseng). Its description in RNAcentral is "long non-coding RNA (PGIN_LNC004834)". Lineage: Eukaryota; Viridiplantae; Streptophyta; Magnoliopsida; Apiales; Araliaceae. The record is from RNAcentral.